AGUGAACGCUGGCGGUAGGCCUAACACAUGCAAGUCGAACGGCAGCACAGUAAGAGCUUGCUCUUACGGGUGGCGAGUGGCGGACGGGUGAGGAAUACAUCGGAAUCUACUUUUUCGUGGGGGAUAACGUAGGGAAACUUACGCUAAUACCGCAUCCGACCUACGGGUGAAAGCAGGGGAUCUUCGGACCUUGCGCGAAUGAAUGAGCCGAUGUCGGAUUAGCUAGUUGGCGGGGUAAAGGCCCACCAAGGCGACGAUCCGUAGCCGGUCUGAGAGGAUGAUCAGCCACACUGGAACUGAGACACGGUCCAGACUCCUACGGGAGGCAGCAGUGGGGAAUAUUGGACAAUGGGCGCAAGCCUGAUCCAGCCAUACCGCGUGGGUGAAGAAGGCCUUCGGGUUGUAAAGCCCUUUUGUUGGGAAAGAAAAGCAGCAGGUUAAUACCCCGCUGUUCUGACGGUACCCAAAGAAUAAGCACCGGCUAACUUCGUG
Molecule: ribosomal RNA, 492 nt
Filed under: uncultured bacterium
Lineage: Bacteria
Description: partial 16S ribosomal RNA
Rfam family: Bacterial small subunit ribosomal RNA
Source: RNAcentral